Molecule: ribosomal RNA, 460 nt
Filed under: uncultured bacterium
Lineage: Bacteria
Description: bacterial SSU rRNA
Rfam family: Bacterial small subunit ribosomal RNA
Source: RNAcentral
UUGCCCUCCCCCACCGACUGCAGAACGCGAAGAACCUUACCAGCCCUUGACAUCCCGGUCGCGGUUUCCAGAGAUGGAAUCCUUCAGUUCGGCUGGACCGGUGACAGGUGCUGCAUGGCUGUCGUCAGCUCGUGUCGUGAGAUGUUGGGUUAAGUCCCGCAACGAGCGCAACCCUCGCCCCUAGUUGCCAUCAUUCAGUUGGGCACUCUAGGGGGACUGCCGGUGAUAAGCCGAGAGGAAGGUGGGGAUGACGUCAAGUCCUCAUGGCCCUUACGGGCUGGGCUACACACGUGCUACAAUGGUGGUGACAGUGGGCAGCGAGACCGCGAGGUCGAGCUAAUCUCCAAAAGCCAUCUCAGUUCGGAUUGCACUCUGCAACUCGAGUGCAUGAAGUUGGAAUCGCUAGUAAUCGUGGAUCAGAAUGCCACGGUGAAUACGUUCCCGGGUCUUGUACACACCG